CCUACGGGUGGCAGCAGUGGGGGAUAUUGCACAAUGGGGGGAACCCUGAUGCAGCGACGCCGCGUGGGUGAAGGAGCGUUUCGGCGCGUAAAGCCCUAUCGGCAGGGAAGAAGAUGACGGUACCUGACUAAGAAGCCCCGGCUAACUACGUGCCAGCAGCGGCGGUAAUACGUCGGGGGCAAGCGUUAUCCGGAUUUACUGGGUGUAAAGGGAGCGUAGACGGCUGUGCAAGUCUGAAGUGAAAGCCCAGGGCUCAACCCUGGGACUGCUUUGGAAACUGUGGGGCUAGAGUGCUGGAGAGGUAAGUGGAAUUCGUGGUGUAGCGGUGAAAUGCGUAGAUAUUGGGAGGAACACCAGUGGCGAAGGCGGCUUACUGGACAGUAACUGACGUUGAGGCUCGAAAGCGUGGGGAGCAAACAGGAUUAGAUACCCCAGUAGUC
This 440-nucleotide ribosomal RNA is filed under the name uncultured bacterium. Its description in RNAcentral is "partial 16S ribosomal RNA". It matches the Rfam family "Bacterial small subunit ribosomal RNA", at positions 338 to 795 of the family's 1533-position model. The record is from RNAcentral.